CCUCCCCCCGCUUCUUUAGAAUCCGUGCCAUCAUAAAUGGCCGUCUGAUUUGACAUUGAUGUGAUGCGUCGUGACAGGCUAGCACACGUGUAUGGUAGACCAUCUGUCGCCUUCCGCUAAGGCAAACGCCUCAGCCCGGUAAGCUCGGAAAUGGACCCCAAAUUUGACUAAUUUACGUUCCUGCCCUACUGGCUCUUCCCAUCUUUUACCGUUGAACUGGUGGGUCCCGGAAAUCGUGCGGUAGGUGAGGAUAAGAUCGCGUGUUGGUGGAGGGGUAAUUAUGGAACGAGGGAGAAGUUGUAAUGAAACGUCUCGCGGAGGAGCGACCGCACACGAUUGAAACGCGUCCAUCAUUCGUCCGUUUCUUG
This 368-nucleotide long non-coding RNA is filed under the name Elaeis guineensis (African oil palm). RNAcentral describes it as "long non-coding RNA (EGUI_LNC003038)". Lineage: Eukaryota; Viridiplantae; Streptophyta; Magnoliopsida; Arecales; Arecaceae. The record is from RNAcentral.